This 547-nucleotide ribosomal RNA is filed under the name uncultured bacterium. Its description in RNAcentral is "bacterial SSU rRNA". It matches the Rfam family "Bacterial small subunit ribosomal RNA", at positions 355 to 896 of the family's 1533-position model. The record is from RNAcentral.
UGGGGAAUAUUGCGCAAUGGGGGGAACCCUGACGCAGCCAUGCCGCGUGAAUGAAGAAGGCCUUAGGGUUGUAAAGUUCUUUCGGUAUUGAGGAAGGUUGAUGUGUUAAUAGCACAUCAAAUUGACGUUAAAUACAGAAGAAGCACCGGCUAACUCCGUGCCAGCAGCCGCGGUAAUACGGAGGGUGCGAGCGUUAAUCGGAAUAACUGGGCGUAAAGGGCACGCAGGCGGUUAUUUAAGUGAGGUGUGAAAGCCCCGGGCUUAACCUGGGAAUUGCAUUUCAGACUGGGUAACUAGAGUACUUUAGGGAGGGGUAGAAUUCCACGUGUAGCGGUGAAAUGCGUAGAGAUGUGGAGGAAUACCGAAGGCGAAGGCAGCCCCUUGGGAAUGUACUGACGCUCAUGUGCGAAAGCGUGGGGAGCAAACAGGAUUAGAUACCCUGGUAGUCCACGCUGUAAACGCUGUCGAUUUGGGGGUUGGGGUUUAACUCUGGCGCCCGUAGCUAACGUGAUAAAUCGACCGCCUGGGGAGUACGGCCGCAAGGNUA